Pseudophryne corroboree (corroboree frog) is the source of this 448-nucleotide long non-coding RNA. RefSeq lists it as uncharacterized. Lineage: Eukaryota; Metazoa; Chordata; Amphibia; Anura; Myobatrachidae. The record is from RefSeq and is a predicted model, not a curated record. The transcript has 3 exons.
UCAAGGCUCGCACAGCAAUCAAUGCCUCCGGAGGAGCAGAAGUGCCAGAACCUGACGGAACCACAAUAGGUUGAUUCAAGUGGAAUGCAGACACGACCUUCGGCAGGAACCUGUCCACGUAAAAGACCAAGUAGGGACUCCUCCUCCUGUAUCUCCUCAUCAGAGUCUGAGAUUAAAGCAGUACGCCAGACCAGCCGCCCAGACAGGCCCCAGCCAACUGAUGAGGAUGCUGGGAUUGCAGGUUCUACUUCUGUAAGCCGACCUCCUCUAAGGCGCCCAUCACAGGGCUCGGCUAACGUACCCAGGAGGCCAAGCAAGACACGGCGUCUUGAAUCAGAAUCUGCGGCUCCAUCUUCCCCACCCAGGCGGCGCAUCUCCGCAGUCUCACCCCAGCCACCACAAGCACUAUUGGCUAGUCCACAAAGUGAUGAGCCACGAUCACCUCAGU